GACGAACGCUGGCGGCGUGCUUAACACAUGCAAGUCGAACGGAAAGGCCCUGCUUUUGUGGGGUGCUCGAGUGGCGAACGGGUGAGUAACACGUGAGUAACCUGCCCUUGACUUUGGGAUAACUUCAGGAAACUGGGGCUAAUACCGGAUAGGAGCUCCUGCUGCAUGGUGGGGGUUGGAAAGUUUCGGCGGUUGGGGAUGGACUCGCGGCUUAUCAGCUUGUGGGUGGGGUAGUGGCUUACCAAGGCUUUGACGGGUAGCCGGCCUGAGAGGGUGACCGGCCACAUUGGGACUGAGAUACGGCCCAGACUCCAACGGGAGGCAGCAGUGGGGAAUAUUGCACAAUGGGCGGAAGCCUGAUGCAGCAACGCCGCGUGCGGGAUGACGGCCUUCGGGUUGUAAACCGCUUUCGCCUGUGACGAAGCGUGAGUGACGGUAAUGGGUAAAGAAGCACCGGCUAACUACGUG
RNAcentral lists this ribosomal RNA (468 nucleotides) under uncultured bacterium. RNAcentral's name for it is "partial 16S ribosomal RNA". It matches the Rfam family "Bacterial small subunit ribosomal RNA", at positions 28 to 507 of the family's 1533-position model. The record is from RNAcentral.